RNAcentral lists this RNase P RNA (323 nucleotides) under Flavobacterium sp. Its description in RNAcentral is "RNase P RNA component class A". It matches the Rfam family "Bacterial RNase P class A". Rfam says of the family: Ribonuclease P (RNase P) is a ubiquitous endoribonuclease, found in archaea, bacteria and eukarya as well as chloroplasts and mitochondria. The record is from RNAcentral. Lineage: Bacteria; Pseudomonadati; Bacteroidota; Flavobacteriia; Flavobacteriales; Flavobacteriaceae.
GCCGCAGACCGCCUUAUCGCCGCAAUUUAUUGGGGAGGAAAGUCCGGACACCACAGAGAAGCAUAGCGGGUAACGCCCGUCGGUUGACUCUGAAUUUAUUUCAGAGUCUUCUAGGACAAGUGCAACAGAAAGUAUGUACAGGUAAUGCUGUAGUGAAACCAGGUAAACUCUAUGCGGUGAAAUUUCAAGUAUAUCGGCAUUUAAGGGUUCUCGCCCGUUGUCGAAGGGUAGAAAGAUUGAUCCCGAUAGUAAUAUCGGGACUAGAUAAAUGAUAAGGCUCCAUUUAUUGGCGACAAAAUCCGGCUUAUAGGUCUGCUUUUUUA